Molecule: long non-coding RNA, 535 nt
Filed under: Rosa chinensis
Lineage: Eukaryota; Viridiplantae; Streptophyta; Magnoliopsida; Rosales; Rosaceae
Description: sRNA RchiOBHm_Chr4g0394161
Source: RNAcentral
UCAUCUUCUAAACUUCUACAAAACAACUCUGCAAGGUCAUCUACUACUGGUACAGACUACAGUCUACAGUGAUCAAUUAUCAGUUCAAUUUCAAACCACAGAGAGCUCAAGGAGCAUCCAGAGGCUUUCCAAUUUAGUUAGGGUUGUUGUAGUUCUUUUCAGGAUUUUGUUUCCUUUCCCAGUUAUGAAGGCUACGGUAUAAUAUUUGGGCAGUUUUGGUUGGAUGGGAGUUGGUAUAGAAUACUAUAGAUGUGCCUACUAGAAAAAUUCUCAGUUGGUUUUGAUUGAAUUGGGGAAUAUGUACCUACUAGAUUAGGCUUGUUGAACCUUCAACUAUUAUGCUAUAUCUUCCGAACGAAGUUAUUGUAUGUAUAUACAUAUGUUGAUUUACGUCUACCAGAUUCCAAAUUGAUGCGGUUUAGAUUAUGUUGCUUCCAUCCGGGGCGGCGGCCAUCGGUGUAGUAGCUCCUUUUAUAAGGGAGUAAUGGAUGAAGUAGAGUGUUCGGUGCAUCCCCACAAAGAUGCUGGUAUUUGA